Molecule: long non-coding RNA, 1484 nt
Filed under: Elaeis guineensis (African oil palm)
Lineage: Eukaryota; Viridiplantae; Streptophyta; Magnoliopsida; Arecales; Arecaceae
Description: long non-coding RNA (EGUI_LNC048736)
Source: RNAcentral
GCCUCCCAAUGUGUCAAGCCACUCCUGAUCAGGGUGAGCAGACAUGCAACAAGAUUAAGGAAUUAGCAUGGUUGGUGUCACCAAAUGUUUGCCCAGGGGAAUGGCAUGUUCUACUUGCUAUUUGACGAGGAUUUAUAAUGUUCUUGUCGUAUGUGAUGUGUUUAUUAAUAAAUUUAUGAACUUGGAAAGAGCAUUAAAAAUUUUGGCAGAUUGAUGCAGACUGCAGUGGUUUAAUGCAAAGUUGCAACAGUGAAUUCGAUUGUGCAGUUGUUGGGUCAAUGCCUCUAGCAGAGUCCAUAUUCAUUGGUCCAUAUGGCUUGGUGACAAAAGGAGCCCUUAAAACAGAAUAAAAGGGGUGGGGAAAUAAAAAAAAUAAAAAUAAAAAUGAAAAACCAACUGCAUGUGCGACCAUCAUUACGGAUGUAGUGACAUAUAUGCCAAUGGAUCUGAGUGCAUUCAAGGAAUGUUAAUAGUUGCAAUAGAUCAUAAUAAAUUGCUAGGAUCUACCAUCCAGAAAUUGCUAGGAACCAUUGGAGAUAAUACGAAUAAUAAACUGAUUUGUGCCGGUGAUUCAUAUCAAAGAGAAGACAGAUAACAUAAAAGUGUAAGAAGAUGCCUAGUUGCUAGAAAUGAAUAAAUUGGAAUCCUAAUUGUAUCUGAUAAUUGGAAAAUUACUGAGCAAGGAGUGAAUAAAUUGGUUGUAAUAUGGAGAAUCCAAGUGUGAAAUAGUAAAAGAAAAGUGAAGGGAUUGUAUAAUAGUUUGGCACUGAACUUGAUAGCUUAGCCUUUCAAGUCUUUUGGUUUUGACUCUCAGUCUCCCUGAUAAGUGGUAUCAAAACUAUAGUGCUGAUCUUGGGUAUGACUUUUGAAGUAACAAAAGCAUGCCAAAAUAGGUGGUUCUUAGAAUGAUAACAUGCGAGUUGGUGGAGUGAAGUCAUGGUCACUGCAGUAUGUCGCUAAUGGGGUGAGCUAACUCAAAAUAGCAAACUUUUGGAUUUGAGCACAUACUUGAUGUAGCAAGUGGACUCAAUGGAGCAAGACUUGAGUUAGAGUGGAGGCCUGAACUCGAGAUGGGCUCUCGGAAGAGAUACAGUAAUCGAAUUUAAAGGAGUAUUUAGUUCGCAAUUAAAAUUGAAAUUAGAAUCAGAAUCGAAAUCGGAAUGAAAAUUUGAAUAUUUAGGAGAGAGAAGGGAUUGAGUUUUAGAUAGAAUGAACCAUUGUCAUUCUACUCUAAAAUCAGAAUCAGAAUAAGAUUCCUUCCAACCAAACGUUUGAAAUAUGAGUCACUUAUUCGUAUUUCGAUUUCAAACUCUAGCUCCCCCAACCGAACACUCCCUAAAUAUAAUCAAUGUAUAUGGGAGCACAUGAUGAUAUAUCUAGAAAGAUGCAUAAUGGGUGAACUUGAUGUUGUGCACUGGAAUGGAAUCGGUUUGAGAGUGGAUGCGAAGUGGAGCUGUGAGGAUGUAAGUGGUUUUCAUGCACGA